AAACGGAGGCUUGAAGGCCCAGUGGAGACCGGGGCCUUGUAGCAGAAGCAGGUCAGACGGACUACAUCGAAUUACAAGUUCCUGGAGGGCAGUCAGCUCGGGGCCGAAGGAGUUGUUUCACGGUGGACUGGGGACUUGGUUCAGGCACUGUUCUGCCGGGAAAACUGCCAGGUUUUACAUUUCGAUCGGAAAUAAAAAUCGGAGGCCCCGCGGCCCUGCCAAGGAGGGAAGCUCCUCUCCCAUCUGCUGUCUCUGCUGUCACUUCAAAUUCGGCCUUGAGCUCACUGAAUUCCCUGGAAACGGACCGUCACGCGGGAAAAAUGUCAGGUCACUGCCCGCUAGGUGGGCUUCCGGCAGGACACCAGAACUCGUGUCCAUAUUACAAAAGACGUCGUCUCCGGCCCGCCGCUUUGGCACGGACACAAAACCAAGCCUCGCCUAAUUAAGGAUGGCAAGCCGCUGCCAAAACGCAGAGUCUCUGUUCUCCAAUCAACUGCCAGCGGAGUCGGACCGGAAAUCCCGCUCGAGACAUUAAUCAGAAUUUUUGGGGGGUUGCAGUCGACAUUAAUCAUUUUAUUUCAAAAGAUAUGAAACAGUUUUUCACCGGAGCGGACAUCCGUACAAUACCUCGUCCAAAGCUGGACGAAGCUGAAAAUGGUGAUUCCUUCUUCGAUGGCAAGUCGAUCCGACACGGAGGGUUUCCAACGCGUUACCUAUGAUUCCUGAUUUCGAAAUCCAGCCCUCCACGCCAGAAAACACACCAUUUCAUCUUGCAGACAUAAACGCGUCACGGCAACGGACCCGGCGGCCGCCCCUUCCGAUUCUCUUCAAAUGACCAGAAAGAGGACUGAACCCACCAGUUGAAGGGCAACCCUCAGACACAUCCGUAGGCACGAAAGCUUGAAGAUGCCAUUCGACCGUCCCAGCGGAGCACCAAAUAUUGGUGAUUACAAACACUCCCUGCCCGGCCUUACUAUACUGGAUUAAAAAGUAAAAGGAAAAAGAA
This is a long non-coding RNA of Ornithorhynchus anatinus (platypus), 1006 nucleotides long. RefSeq lists it as uncharacterized. The record is from RefSeq and is a predicted model, not a curated record. The transcript is spliced from 2 exons. Lineage: Eukaryota; Metazoa; Chordata; Mammalia; Monotremata; Ornithorhynchidae.